This 253-nucleotide ribosomal RNA is filed under the name uncultured bacterium. RNAcentral describes it as "partial 16S ribosomal RNA". It matches the Rfam family "Bacterial small subunit ribosomal RNA", at positions 524 to 776 of the family's 1533-position model. The record is from RNAcentral.
UCCGAAGGGGGCUAUCGUUGCUCGGAAUCACUGGGCGUAAAGCGCACGUAGGCGGCUUCUUAAGUCAGGGGUGAAAUCCUGGGGCUCAACCCCAGAACUGCCCUUGAUACUGAGGAGCUUGAGUCCGGGAGAGGUGAGUGGAACUCCGAGUGUAGAGGUGAAAUUCGUAGAUAUUCGGAAGAACACCAGUGGCGAAGGCGGCUCACUGGCCCGGUACUGACGCUGAGGUGCGAAAGCGUGGGGAGAAAACAGG